CUUGCCUUUGUUUUAGCUAUGUCAAGUGUCUUUCAAAUCCUGAAUUGCUUACUAUUCAGGUUGAUUUUAGAAUUCUAAGAUUAACUCAGGCCAAAUAGUUGGCAUGUUUCCAUAUAUAAAUAGUUUAUUUGCUUUCAAU
Long non-coding RNA from Perognathus longimembris pacificus (Pacific pocket mouse), 139 nucleotides. RefSeq lists it as uncharacterized. Lineage: Eukaryota; Metazoa; Chordata; Mammalia; Rodentia; Heteromyidae. The transcript is spliced from 3 exons. The record is from RefSeq and is a predicted model, not a curated record.